Molecule: ribosomal RNA, 501 nt
Filed under: Triticum aestivum (bread wheat)
Lineage: Eukaryota; Viridiplantae; Streptophyta; Magnoliopsida; Poales; Poaceae
Description: partial small subunit ribosomal RNA
Source: RNAcentral
AUGGAGAUCGAGGCGCUUGCCGGAGAGGACGGACGCUGGCUCGGGGAGCUUGAGAGCGUUGGGGUUAGACGAGGGGCGGGGCCCUCCAGGGGUGCGCUGGGGAGUCGGGCCGCGGGAGGACGGCGGCUCCACGCGGAGGCGGCGCUUGCGGCGGCGGCGCUCGGCGGAGGCGUCGGUGGGGGCAUCCGGGAGAUCGGUGGGGGUGGCGAGGCAGAGGAGACGGUGCUGGGAGCGGACGGGGAGGCGGAGGGAGAAGGGAAGGAGGCGGGAGAAGAGGGGCUUCGAGAGCGCCAUGGCGGCCACGGAGCACGACGGCGAGCCGACGAGGGUUUAGCUAGGGAUUUGGGGAUAUUUUCUCCUGGAAAUGGCAAAUGGCGAGAAGUCGAACACGAUAGGCUACUCUUCAGAGAGAAUACAAGCCCGUUACUGGUACGUGUGGGCUGGGCAAGAUCCCAUGAUGGGCUUGGGCUACAUGCCUUCGUCCGUGUCUUCCGCGCAUGA